AAUUAUCAACCUUGUUCGCUUCUACGAGCUUGAGCAAGGCUUGGAUGUGAGGGCUUGCUGGCUUCCUUCAGUGGAUGGUCUGCUCCCUUUAAAUGCAUUAGUGGGAUCUCUUGUGGACCGUCACUUGGUGUGAUAAUUAUCUAUGCCAGUUGACUUUGAAGCAAACUUUAUGGGAGCCCGCUCAUAACCGUCUCGCAAGAGACAAUUUUUUAUUG
This 215-nucleotide unclassified non-coding RNA is filed under the name uncultured Mycena. RNAcentral describes it as "sequence contains ITS2". Lineage: Eukaryota; Fungi; Basidiomycota; Agaricomycetes; Agaricales; Tricholomataceae. The record is from RNAcentral.